GACGAACGCUGGCGGCGUGCUUAACACAUGCAAGUCGAACGGAAAGGCCCUGCGUUUGUGGGGUGCUCGAGUGGCGAACGGGUGAGUAACACGUGAGUAACCUGCCCUUGACUUUGGGAUAACUUCAGGAAACUGGGGCUAAUACCGGAUAGGAGCUCCUGCUGCAUGGUGGGGGUUGGAAAGUUUCGGCGGUUGGGGAUGGACUCGCGGCUUAUCAGCUUGUUGGUGGGGUAGUGGCUUACCAAGGCUUUGACGGGUAGCCGGCCUGAGAGGGUGACCGGCCACAUUGGGACUGAGAUACGGCCCAGACUCCUACGGGGGGCAGCGGUGGGGAAUAUUGCACAAUGGGCGGAAGCCUGAUGCAGCAACGCCGCGUGCGGGAUGACGGCCUUCGGGUUGUAAACCGCUUUCGCCUGUGACGAAGCGUGAGUGACGGUAAUGGGUAAAGAAGCACCGGCUAACUACGUG
RNAcentral lists this ribosomal RNA (468 nucleotides) under uncultured bacterium. RNAcentral's name for it is "partial 16S ribosomal RNA". It matches the Rfam family "Bacterial small subunit ribosomal RNA", at positions 28 to 507 of the family's 1533-position model. The record is from RNAcentral.